UCCCCCGUCACUGGCCCUCAGUCUCGGAUUACUGCCUUUGCAGGCAGGCGGUCCCCUGCACCGCGGCUAGCUCUUGCCAUCAGAGCCCUGCCAGGAAGCAGUCUCCAGAUGAAAUCUGCUUUCCUAGAACCCUACCAUGGGCCUGAAUCCGGGUGGCACAGCUCAAGUCUGCCCCCUCCCUUUGGAAACUGAGGACAGCAAUGCCCCUGAGGGAGUCGUGCCUUCCUGGGUCCCAAGCAACUCCCAAGGGCAGGUGGAAUUCCCAAGGGAAAGCCAGCCAGUGGUAAGGAAAUGACAGGGAGCGCUGGCAACCGCCUCUUUGGAGCCCCUGGAGAUGAGCUUCAGGGAGAGGAGGACCAAUGAGUACUCCCACGGUGGCCGGCGUGGCAGGCUCAGGGUGACGGCGGCGGAGGAAGGCACUGGGAAGCUGAGCUUGCAAGAGCGGGGAUGGGCUCCGGAGCGUGGCUGUGGGAGCGACCUCUGCCUCCCGCUGCCCCGGGAUCCCCCUUGCACGGUAAAGAGGGAGCAAGGGCCGGCGAAGAGUGUUCGGGGACGCAGGGACAGGCUCUCGAGGGGCAGGAACCCCGCCCCCGCCCAGAAACCUCCCGG
Molecule: long non-coding RNA, 609 nt
Filed under: Fukomys damarensis (Damara mole-rat)
Lineage: Eukaryota; Metazoa; Chordata; Mammalia; Rodentia; Bathyergidae
Description: lncRNA (ENSFDAG00000025074.1)
Source: RNAcentral